Molecule: small nuclear RNA, 107 nt
Organism: Sciurus carolinensis (gray squirrel)
Lineage: Eukaryota; Metazoa; Chordata; Mammalia; Rodentia; Sciuridae
Source: RefSeq, a predicted model, not a curated record
GUGUUUGCUUCAGUAGCACAGAUACUAAAAUUGGAACAACACAGACAACAUUAGCAUGGCUCCUGAUCAAGGAUGACAUGCAAAUUUGUGAAGUGUUCCAUAUAUAU